This 21-nucleotide non-coding RNA is filed under the name Arabidopsis thaliana (thale cress). The record is from RNAcentral. Lineage: Eukaryota; Viridiplantae; Streptophyta; Magnoliopsida; Brassicales; Brassicaceae.
UGUCCACGUCAACAUCGAGCC